Molecule: unclassified non-coding RNA, 329 nt
Filed under: soil metagenome
Description: partial contains 5.8S ribosomal RNA, internal transcribed spacer 2, and large subunit ribosomal RNA
Rfam family: 5.8S ribosomal RNA (bases 1-120)
Source: RNAcentral
GAUGAAGAACGUAGCGAAAUGCGAUAAGUAGUGUGAAUUGCAGAAUUCCGUGAAUCAUCGAAUCUUUGAACGCACAUUGCGCCCCCUGGCAUUCCGGGGGGCAUGCCUGUUCGAGCGUCAUUACAACCCUCAAGCUCUGCUUGGUAUUGGGCUCUGCCGGUCCCGGCAGGCCUUAAAAUCAGUGGCGGCGCCACUCGGCUUCAAGCGUAGUAAUUCUUCUCGCUUCGGAGACCCGGGUGCGUGCUAGCCAGCAACCCCCAACUUUCUCAGGUUGACCUCGGAUCAGGUAGGGAUACCCGCUGAACUUAAGCAUAUCAAUAAGCGGAGGA